AACGAACGCUGGCGGCAUGCCUAACACAUGCAAGUCGAACGAGACCUUCGGGUCUAGUGGCGCACGGGUGCGUAACGCGUGGGAACCUGCCUUUAGGUUCGGAAUAACUCAGAGAAAUUUGAGCUAAUACCGGAUGAUGUCUUCGGACCAAAGAUUUAUCGCCUUUAGAUGGGCCCGCGUUGGAUUAGCUAGUUGGUGGGGUAAAGGCCUACCAAGGCGACGAUCCAUAGCUGGUCUGAGAGGAUGAUCAGCCACACUAGGACUGAGACACGGCCCAGACUCCUACGGGAGGCAGCAGUGGGGAAUAUUGGACAAUGGGCGAAAGCCUGAUCCAGCAAUGCCGCGUGAGUGAUGAAGGCCUUAGGGUUGUAAAGCUCUUUUACCCGAGAUGAUAAUGACAGUAUCGGGAGAAUAAGCUCCGGCUAACUCCGUG
RNAcentral lists this ribosomal RNA (433 nucleotides) under uncultured bacterium. RNAcentral's name for it is "partial 16S ribosomal RNA". It matches the Rfam family "Bacterial small subunit ribosomal RNA", at positions 29 to 507 of the family's 1533-position model. The record is from RNAcentral.